This 73-nucleotide transfer RNA is filed under the name Stegodyphus mimosarum. It matches the Rfam family "tRNA". Rfam says of the family: Transfer RNA (tRNA) molecules are approximately 80 nucleotides in length. The record is from Rfam by way of RNAcentral. Lineage: Eukaryota; Metazoa; Arthropoda; Arachnida; Araneae; Eresidae.
GUCUUCUUGGUGUAAUGGUCAGCACACUCGACGCGUAUUCCAGAGGUCUGUGGUUCGAAUCCCGGCGAGGACA